AGUGAACGCUGGCGGUAGGCCUAACACAUGCAAGUCGAACGGCAGCACAGUAAGAGCUUGCUCUUACGGGUGGCGAGUGGCGGACGGGUGAGGAAUACAUCGGACUCUACUUUUUCGUGGGGGAUAACGUAGGGAAAGUUACGCUAAUACCGCAUACGACCUACGGGUGAAAGCAGGGGAUCUUCGGACCUUGCGCGGAUGAAUGCGCCGCUGUGGGGUUAGUUAGUUGGCGGGGUAAGGGCCUACCAGGGCGCCGGUCCGUAGCCGGUUCGAGUGGGGGGUCGGCCACACUGGAACUGAGACACGACCCAGGCACUGAGGGGAGGCAGCGGUGGGUAAUGUAGGAAAAUGGGCGCAAGCCUGAUCCAUCCAUGCCGCGUGGAUGAAGAAAGCCUGCGUGUGGUAAAGCCCUUUUGUUGGGAAAGAAAGGCAGCAGGUUAAUACCCCGCUGUGCUACGGUACCCAAAAAAUAAGCACCGGCUAACUUCGUG
This 491-nucleotide ribosomal RNA is filed under the name uncultured bacterium. Its description in RNAcentral is "partial 16S ribosomal RNA". It matches the Rfam family "Bacterial small subunit ribosomal RNA", at positions 29 to 507 of the family's 1533-position model. The record is from RNAcentral.